UAAUGAGGUAAAACAUGUUUCUUUUUGGCAGAAAAGCCAUUUCCUAUAGGUUUUGUUGUUGCUUGGUUCGUUGCUUGGCCAACAGAAUGACUUUGGGAAAAGAGAAAGAAGAUAUAGGGAAACGGCCUUUGAAUGGCCUCUACAUUCAUUCCAAUGGGUCAAAUCCUAAAAUCUGGAGAGAAACUUCCAUGGUAGGGUUUGGUUGCCUGAGCUUUCAAACAGCAAAUUGAAUUUCUUUCUUUUCCAUGUUGGAAUGCUCCCUUGAUUGUACAUUUAGGCCUUCAAUAAAUCU
This 292-nucleotide long non-coding RNA is filed under the name Homo sapiens (human). Its description in RNAcentral is "HSALNT0136281". The record is from RNAcentral. Lineage: Eukaryota; Metazoa; Chordata; Mammalia; Primates; Hominidae.